UACGUAGGGUGCGAGCGUUAAUCGGAAUUACUGGGCGUAAAGCGUGCGCAGGCGGUUAUUUAAGACAGAUGUGAAAUCCCCGGGCUCACCCUGGGAACUGCGUUUGUGACUGGAUAGCUGGGGUAUGGCAGAGGGGGGGGGAAUUCCCCGUGUAGCAGUGAAAUGCGUAGAGAUGUGGAGGAACACCGAUGGCGAAGGCAGCCCCCUGGGCCAAUACUGACGCUCAUGCACGAAAGCGUGGGGAGCAAACAGGAUUAGAUACCCUGGUAGUCCACGCCCUAAACGAUGCGAACUAGGUGUUGGGGAAGGAGACUUUCUUAGUACCGCAGCUAACGCGUGAAGUUCGCCGCCUGGGGAGUACGGUCGCAAGAUUA
Molecule: ribosomal RNA, 374 nt
Filed under: uncultured prokaryote
Description: bacterial SSU rRNA
Rfam family: Bacterial small subunit ribosomal RNA
Source: RNAcentral